This 120-nucleotide non-coding RNA is filed under the name Thermotalea metallivorans. RNAcentral describes it as "MoCo sequence". It matches the Rfam family "Molybdenum/Tungsten riboswitch aptamer (Moco RNA motif)". The record is from Rfam by way of RNAcentral. Lineage: Bacteria; Bacillati; Bacillota; Clostridia; Peptostreptococcales; Thermotaleaceae.
AGGGAUAUGUUUUUCCGAGUCAUAUUGUCUAACGUGCUAUACCAUGAGAAUAUGACCUAUGGGCAUAAGAAGAAAUUCUUAUACCUCCCGUGCUUGGAAAGGAAAAAUCAUCAUUGACAA